RNAcentral lists this unclassified non-coding RNA (241 nucleotides) under Ascomycota sp. RNAcentral describes it as "partial contains small subunit ribosomal RNA, internal transcribed spacer 1, and 5.8S ribosomal RNA". The stretch from base 1 to 47 matches the Rfam family "Eukaryotic small subunit ribosomal RNA", at positions 1785 to 1831 of the family's 1831-position model. Lineage: Eukaryota; Fungi; Ascomycota. The record is from RNAcentral.
AAAGUCGUAACAAGGUCUCCGUUGGUGAACCAGCGGAGGGAUCAUUACAGAGUUGCAAAACUCCCAACCAUUGUGAACUUACCCCACCGUUGCUUCGGCGGGUGGCCCCCUCCCCGGGGCCGCGCCGGCCCCCCUCGGGGUCGGCAACCCGUCAGAGGACCGAAACUCUUAGUAACCAUUGGCCUCUCUGAGUAACUUAUACAAUAAGUCAAAACUUUCAACAACGGAUCUCUUGGUUCUG